GGGCUUGACAUCCCACGAACCUGCCUGAAAGGGCGGGGUGCCCGCAAGGGAGCGUGGAGACAGGUGGUGCAUGGCUGUCGUCAGCUCGUGUCGUGAGAUGUUGGGUUAAGUCCCGCAACGAGCGCAACCCUCACCCCUAGUUGCCACCGGGUAAAGCCGAGCACUCGAGGGGAACUGCCAGCGUCAAGCUGGAGGAAGGCGGGGAUGACGUCAAGUCAUCAUGCCCCUUACGCCCUGGGCUACACACGUGCUACAAUGGCCAGUACAAAGGGACGCGAGACCGCGAGGUGGAGCAAAUCCCAAAAAGCUGGUCUAAGUUCAGAUUGCAGUCUGCAACUCGACUGCAUGAAGGAGGAAUCGCUAGUAAUCGCGCAUCAGCACGGCGCGGUGAAUACGUUCCCGGGCCUUGUACACACCGCCCGUCACACCACGAAAGCUGUCUGUACUCGAAGUCGCUGAG
RNAcentral lists this ribosomal RNA (460 nucleotides) under uncultured bacterium. Its description in RNAcentral is "bacterial SSU rRNA". It matches the Rfam family "Bacterial small subunit ribosomal RNA", at positions 977 to 1434 of the family's 1533-position model. The record is from RNAcentral.